This is a long non-coding RNA of Centruroides sculpturatus (bark scorpion), 595 nucleotides long. RefSeq lists it as uncharacterized. The record is from RefSeq and is a predicted model, not a curated record. The transcript is spliced from 3 exons. Lineage: Eukaryota; Metazoa; Arthropoda; Arachnida; Scorpiones; Buthidae.
UCGGUUUGGACCGGAAGUCACGUUAUUUUAAUUCAAAAAUUUUUUUCCAGAACAGUUAGAUAGAUGAUUCUAAAAUUUUUGCUGAGAUAAUUAGCAUACAUGAUCAAUUAUACAUCAGUGACAUGUGAUAAACAAUAAGAGAUGUUCAGAAUUGUAUUAGUAUAGUUUUUCGUCCCACAUACUAAUUUUAUCCAGGUAAGUUGAGGCAGCGUAUGGCAGGUGAGCACGUGUUAAGUGACGCACCUGCGCCGUUAACCACAGUACGUAAACCCAAGCUACACACACAGACAGUUUGCGUGAAGAACUCGUAAAAGAAUCAUAUCUUCUAUGUUAAGAUGCGAUGAGUUGUACGUAACCACGUGACAAGUACUGAAAGGAUUUUUAACUGCGACCGUCUAUCAUCAACAUCUUCAACUUUCUUUUUUCUUUUUGUUUUCUUCCUGCCGUUCCUAGAAAAUUACUUGCUAUAUCGAUUAUUGCCAGGAUGAAGAUUAAUUUAUUUAUUGCAAUCAUCUGCGUUCUGUUGAUUAAUUCUGUUUGUAAAAGUCAAAAAAGGAUGUAUCAAGAUCACACGGUGCAAACUUACUUCAGUGAA